This 408-nucleotide ribosomal RNA is filed under the name uncultured Methylomirabilota bacterium. RNAcentral's name for it is "bacterial SSU rRNA". It matches the Rfam family "Bacterial small subunit ribosomal RNA", at positions 1027 to 1434 of the family's 1533-position model. The record is from RNAcentral. Lineage: Bacteria; Methylomirabilota (SeqCode).
CGUGGAGACAGGUGGUGCAUGGCUGUCGUCAGCUCGUGUCGUGAGGUGUUGGGUUAAGUCCCGCAACGAGCGCAACCCUCACCCCUUGUUGCCAUCAGGUCACGCUGGGCACUCUAGGGGAACUGCCCCGGUCAACGGGGAGGAAGGUGGGGACGACGUCAAGUCAUCAUGCCCCUUACGCCCUGGGCUACACACGUGCUACAAUGGCCGGUACAAAGGGAUGCAAGACCGUGAGGUGGAGCUAAACCCAAAAAGCCGGUCUAAGUUCAGAUUGGAGUCUGCAACUCGACUCCAUGAAGGAGGAAUCGCUAGUAAUCGCGCAUCAGCACGGCGCGGUGAAUACGUUCCCGGGCCUUGUACACACCGCCCGUCACACCACGAAAGCCAGCUGUACUCGAAGUCGCUGAG